GUCUGUAAGCGGCUUCUUAAUUCAUUUUAGUGAUAUAAAGAUAGGAGUUUUUAUUAUUUUAUCUGUAUGUAUCUGCUGCUACUAUGGUGAGAUGACUUCUUAGGACUAGCACAGACGAAUGAUAUAAUCAUCAUUAUCAUCAAUCAUCGUUGUUAUCUGGAUACUCGCGGCAAGUCAGUAUUUUUUACGUUUACAAAAUCAAUAGAAGUACUUACUUUUGCUUUUUCAGGUGGAGAGGUAUUUUAGAGCCCAUAUUAUACAGCAGUGUUGUCUUGAUUUAACCCAAUCAUUACAGGAUCUUGUUAUGUACUGUACAUGCAGUUACAGCCUUGGAUUAGAUCAUAUUUAAAGGGGAAAAAGUAGUCUUUAAUAAUAAUAAAUAUAAAGUACUGUGCAAAAGUCUUAAGACACCAUUAGAUGUUGUUUUAGCAAUGGUAUAGUGACCAUAUAAUUAUUUCUCAGUCUCUUUAUUAGAAUAUAACCAGGAAAUACAUUAAAUUUGUAAGCGGUAUUGAAAAACUGUAUUAAUAAAGUGGUAAGUGUUUAGUGACCUCUUCUUACACUUGAGCAAUAGCGAGAAUCUGGCUCUCUUAAACCUAAAUGGAAUGGAAAAUGACUGGAAGGUCAAGAAAACUUUCAAAAUCUGAUCAGAAGUUUCUCCUUUGAAAAAACUGUAAGAAGUCUAGGAGGUCACACUAAAUACUGAUUUUUGCUUAAAGAAGCCAUUUUGUUCUGAUUUUUUUUUUUCAUUUUGUGUACAUAUUUCCUGUAUUUUCUGUUUGUGUUGUAAUAAAGACCGAAAAAUAAACAUGGAUGGUCAUUAAAACAUUGCUAAAACAACAAAGCUAAGACUUUUGCACAAUACUGUAUGUCCAAAUGCAAAACCUAAUACAUUAAAGUAAUUAUGACUGAAAUUAUAUAUAAUUUGUUUGAAAUAAAUAUUUUAAAGGUGCCGUAGAACGUGUUUUCAAAAGAUGUAAUAUAAGUCUCAGGUGUCCCCUGAAUGUGUCUGUGAAGUUUCAGCUCAAAAUACCCCAUAUAUUUUUUUUUUUUAUUCAUUUUUUUUAACUGCCUAUUUUGGGGCAUCAUUAAAUAUGCGUCGAUUCAGGCUGCGGCCCCUUUAAAUUCUCGUGCUCCCCGCCCCCGGAGCUCCCGCUUGCCUUAAACAGCAUAAACAAAGUUCACACAGCUAAUAUAACCCUCAAAAUGGAUCUUUACAAAGUGUUCGUCGUGCAGCAUGUCUAAUCGCGGAGUGGAGCAACUUUUCCAUUAACAAAAUUCUGAUGCUGACCCAGAGGAUGGAGUGGUAGCACCAGAGAUCCACUGUCCCCAUCAGACAAGAAUCUUAUUUUGUUCAGACACAUCACCUUUGACAGACUGGGAUCUUGAUCUUCAGACACCUGAUAUUAUGCAAUUAUUUUAAUUUCUUUGGAGCUCUAGAUUAAAACAGACACAGUUCACAAACACACAAGAGGUUGUACUUUGUUCUUAUUAGUCCAUACUGAUCUUGGAUUAGCAUACCAACAACAUAUGAAUGUUAAGGUGAUAGAAGAAGAACAGUUAUGAUUUUUAUCCAUUCAUUUACAUGACAGUGGUGUUUUGGGGGCCUAAAAAUGCUAACUUUUGAAAAUGGGUUUCAAAUUGAACGUUUUUGAAAAUGAUACUGUUAUCUUCUCCAAGUAAACUACAAUAAUGCAAAUUUGUAAAGACAGUGAUAUUGUGUGUAUUAUUUGUUCAGUAUAGCUGCGUAGUGAUUCUUUACAAAGUGACAUCGCCAACUACUGGCCUGGCAUGAAUAAUACAGUGUUUUUAGUUUUUUUCACAGAUGUGUGUGAACAGAUGGUUUUGAUAAUGUUGUCGUCUAUAUGUACAUUGUUGUGGUGUAAUCGUACCCUUAUACUUUGCGCACCUUUUUAAAAAAAGGUUUUAGAUAGUAGCUAAUGUUAGCUAGAGAGAUCAACCUUGAUAUAGUGAUCACAGGCAAUCAAAUGUAUCCAUUCAGAAGAGCAGUAACGAAGCACAAUUAACAUAUUAACGUUUCUCGCAUUUUUAUGUUUCAACAGAUGUUGAGAGCAACCCAGAGAGCUCAAUUCCUAAUUGGCUCAAGAGGACCAAAGAAAUUAAAAACUUGAUUAUGUUGAUGUCAAUGUGCUUUUUGGUAUUUCUGAAACCUGUAGCUGUAAUUUAAUUUUUUUUUUGCCAAAACUUUUGUCAGAUAAAUAACUGCAUAAAAAAUAAAAAUAUUUUCCUCAUA
Molecule: long non-coding RNA, 2254 nt
Organism: Ctenopharyngodon idella (grass carp)
Lineage: Eukaryota; Metazoa; Chordata; Actinopteri; Cypriniformes; Xenocyprididae
Exons: 2
Source: RefSeq, a predicted model, not a curated record